AUCCUCUCAGGGUCACACUUGGAGAGUUUCCAGCAUGCUACCAGUGAUGACUACAGGAGGGACAGUCAAGCAGAGGCAUACCCAUUCCAUUCUUAGCUUGGGCAGUGGCUAGUGAGUGGAAGGCAAUCUGCUACAAGU
This 138-nucleotide small nucleolar RNA is filed under the name Ornithorhynchus anatinus (platypus). Lineage: Eukaryota; Metazoa; Chordata; Mammalia; Monotremata; Ornithorhynchidae. The record is from RNAcentral.